UUAGUGAUCUGGGCCUCUGAAGAAAGAAGCAUCAUGACAGUUUUUGUGAAAGUAUUGUUUCUGUUAUUAGGUACAGGUCACAAACAAAUAGGGGACUCUGGAAUCAUUGAUCUUUUUUUUUUUUUUUUGAAUGCUUGUUAAUAAUGUGAUGACUCUCCAUAAAUUGUAACAAAUGUAUGAUCGUGUCUUUGCAUGGGCUCCUGUCAGUCUGCUCACUCAAGAAUGGAGCAAAGACAUUAUGUAGAGGCAUUUUAUUGUUUACUUGAGGUUUUAGCUAAGCAUGUUAGAAAGAUCUGAGUUAGCCAACAAUCUGAAUAUGCCUAGAGUACAUAGCUGAGGUAAGAUUUAUUUGUAAGAGGAAGUUACUAGUUUAUUAAAUCUACUGCUGGAGUUGGAAAAAAAAUACACAACAGUCUGGGCAUAUGAACCAUCCUUAGGGCACUUUGGAGGAAUUGAUAGCAGCAUUUGCUACACUGAAAGCUCAGUGGAUAUGAACUUAUGUGUGUUUGGCUCAAUUACUGUGCUCUGAGCAGUGUAAUUUAAAUAUUGUGUGUUUCCAGAAGGUUAACAUUGCUGGUACACUUCAUGCUCUUCACUGUAAAAAAGCGAGCACUUUAAAAACAGGUGACAAUCUUCCAUUUGCCACUAUGCAAUCAGCAAAACCAUUCUGUUAAGAUAAAAACCUCCAAGACUGAAGUCAAUUAGAGUGGGAUACUUAAAUUUGUUAGGUCCCUUCCACAGAAAAUAAAUACAGAAAUGACAUUGUAAAACUGGUGAAAGGUGGUAUGCAGCACACUGACCAAGUUGUGGGCUACAUUUGCUUAACAAUACUUUCAGUACAGAGAAGAGCUGUGGUCUGAAGGAAGAACUGCCCACCACUCCAUAGAUUAGAAAAGAUCUUGUCAAAGAUCUGAUAUCACUGGCGGAGACACUUGCAGAAGCGGUGCCAGGACGUUAUAAAUUCCAUGGCUCCCCUGUAAGCCACAGUGCUGCCAUUCCCUGAGAGCAACAUCCCACGUUCAAUCUAGGGCAAGACAUGGUUUUACUAGCAAGUACCCUCUGUGUAAGUGCCCUUAGAUCAAUGUCUGUUGACGUGAUCAUGGCAAUAAUCCCUUCUCCAGUAUGCUUACACAAAUUACUGUAAAGCAAGACAAGGUAUAGACUUAGUGUAUAUUUAUCUAUACAUUUAUCUAUACAGCAGUACUUUCAGUUAGGAAGAGCACAGACAGACAAGUUAUUGCGAAGCUGGUCAUUGCGCAGUGAAUUCACCUAAGCUAUUCUUGCAGUGAUUUGUUCCAACAGUUGUAUUCUGAGAUACAGUCUUAAAUUUCAUCAGAAUUUAAAGUGAGGCUCAUUUUGUGCUAUUUAUGUUUAGAUAUCUUUACUAGCUUCGUAGCAAACUUUGUGGAUGUCCAACUGCAAUGUAGCAGACUUCACAGAAUGGUCGUUUAUAUUUAGAUUAUCUUCUUGACUUCCAAUCACUUCAAUUAAGUGACCCAUGAUUUUUAUGUUACAGGACAUUGCAAAAGAUGCACCUGCCAGUUUUAUUUCUGUUUUUACAUUGUUGGAAGAUGCUUGGAAGUUUGAUCUAAGUAUAUUCCUGAAAACUGACGCUUCUCUGAAUCUUUCCAAUUUGCUAGAGGUAUAUUGUGGUGUUUGUUUUGCUGGAGGGCAGCCUAGGGCCUUAAAGGUCCUUUUGAGACUUACAACCCCUGAUUCUUGGAACAGAAAUGUUGAUUCAAAGUUGUGAGUACCUAUAUGGGGAUUUCUAGUGAACUCAAUGAAAAUCUUGUACAAAAUAUGUACUGUCACAUGCUGGGCUGACUUCUGGGCAGAUAAAAAAUACCAUGCAUCAACGUUUCUCAUGGAAAAUCUCUAUUUUUGACUCCGUAGUAUAUGAGCAGAAGCUGGACAUGACAUAGAAUGUAAGAGAAAAUCAAAUAUGAACAAGAAGAGGUCUUUCUUUACCCAUUUGUGGAGAGCCAUUUGUAAACAUCUGGAAGGGGAUUCAGCCAGCAGUUGGCAAUGGCAGGAUUCUGUCAAGGUUGAAUCAGUCUAAACAGAGCAAGGACAAGAAAGACAACAGCAGUAUCUCUCAAGCACAGAUUUGGGUCCCUCCUUUGUCCUGCCUUUGUCCUGCCUUCUUGAUGAGUAUCCAAGGAAAAAUUUUAAUUCCCGGGUUCCAUAAAUGCCCUGGUCCACUACCUGAGGCUGAGAUGCAUGCAGUUGGUCAGGGCAGUCACCUGGGAUGUGCUGAGGACAAAUUCAAAUCAGGACUGCUGCUUGUUUCAAUUUGAGUGUAAAGGCUUGACAUCAGAAGGGUCGACUCAUGAAACUGCAAGGAAGAAAAAUGCUCUUGCUGCUACGGUGGCUGAAUCGCAUGGAUUUACCCCACCAAGGCUGCUCCAGCCUGUGCCCCACGUUUGGCCUCCGCGGAUCUGAACCUGCUGCUGAAAAAGAGUGGGAAGUUAUUACAUACAUCUAAUAGCUGCCGGAUAACAUGGUUCGGUGUUGAAUCCAUCUGGAUUGUUUUACCUCUCUUUUCUGUUCACCAGCAAAAGUUUAUCCUGGAUCAAACCAAGCUUAUCACAUACUGAGCCUGAAUAGGCUUUUGUUCUGCCUGCUGCGGUUCCCUGAACCGGCUGGAUUUCCCCAACAGAUGGCACUGCCUUUCUCUCGUAGUUAGCCAAAAGUUUAAAAACAUUUUGUUAAAAAUAGAUGCCCCACAUUCUUAAUUGGCAAUCCUUUUUCUAUUUAUUGUUAGGCACAAAUCAAAUGCUGUUUAGCUCUUGGGCAACCUCAAUGCACAAUACAUAAAAGCAUA
Cuculus canorus (common cuckoo) is the source of this 2824-nucleotide long non-coding RNA. RefSeq lists it as uncharacterized. NCBI's taxonomy places the organism in Eukaryota, Metazoa, Chordata, Aves, Cuculiformes, Cuculidae. The transcript has 4 exons. The record is from RefSeq and is a predicted model, not a curated record.